GAUGAACGCUGGCGGCGUGCCUAAUACAUGCAAGUCGAGCGAACAGACGAGGAGCUUGCUCCUCUGACGUUAGCGGCGGACGGGUGAGUAACACGUGGAUAACCUACCUAUAAGACUGGGAUAACUUCGGGAAACCGGAGCUAAUACCGGAUAAUAUAUUGAACCGCAUGGUUCAAUAGUGAAAGACGGUUUUGCUGUCACUUAUAGAUGGAUCCGCGCCGCAUUAGCUAGUUGGUAAGGUAACGGCUUACCAAGGCAACGAUGCGUAGCCGACCUGAGAGGGGGAUCGGCCACACUGGAACUGAGACACGGACCAGACUCCUACGGGAGGCAGCAGUAGGGAAUCUUCCGCAAUGGGCGAAAGCCUGACGGAGCAACGCCGCGUGAGUGAUGAAGGUCUUCGGAUCGUAAAACUCUGUUAUUAGGGAAGAACAAAUGUGUAAGUAACUAUGCACGUCUUGACGGUACCUAAUCAGAAAGCCACGGCUAACUACGUG
Molecule: ribosomal RNA, 497 nt
Filed under: uncultured bacterium
Lineage: Bacteria
Description: partial 16S ribosomal RNA
Rfam family: Bacterial small subunit ribosomal RNA
Source: RNAcentral